GAAGGGGGCUAGCGUUGCUCGGAAUUACUGGGCGUAAAGGGAGCGUAGGCGGACAUUUAAGUCAGGGGUGAAAUCCCAGAGCUCAACUCUGGAACUGCCUUUGAUACUGGGUGUCUUGAGUGUGAUAGAGGUAUGUGGAACUCCGAGUGUAGAGGUGAAAUUCGUAGAUAUUAGGAGGAACACCAGUGGCGAAGGCGGCUUGCUGGACGAUGACUGACGUUGAGGCUCGAAAGCGUGGGGAGCAAACAGGAUUAGAUACCCUGGUAGUCCACGCCGUAAACGAUGACUACUAGGUGUCGGGGAGCAAAGCUCUUCGGUGCCGCAGCCAACGCAAUAAGUAGUCCACCUGGGGAGU
Molecule: ribosomal RNA, 355 nt
Filed under: uncultured bacterium
Lineage: Bacteria
Description: bacterial SSU rRNA
Rfam family: Bacterial small subunit ribosomal RNA
Source: RNAcentral